UACGUAGGGACCGAGCGUUGUCCGGAAUCAUUGGGCGUAAAGAGCGUGUAGGCGGCCACUUAAGUCCUGCGUGAAAUCUUGCGGCUCAACCGCAAGCGGUCGUGGGAAACUGGGUGGCUAGAGUGCGGGAGAGGAGAGUGGAAUUCCUGGUGUAGCGGUGGAAUGCGCAGAUAUCAGGAGGAACACCGAUUGCGAAGGCAGCUCGCUGGAACGUUACUGACGCUGAGACGCGAAAGCGUGGGGAGCAAACAGG
This 253-nucleotide ribosomal RNA is filed under the name uncultured bacterium. RNAcentral's name for it is "partial 16S ribosomal RNA". It matches the Rfam family "Bacterial small subunit ribosomal RNA", at positions 524 to 776 of the family's 1533-position model. The record is from RNAcentral.